This is a long non-coding RNA of Perognathus longimembris pacificus (Pacific pocket mouse), 162 nucleotides long. RefSeq lists it as uncharacterized. NCBI's taxonomy places the organism in Eukaryota, Metazoa, Chordata, Mammalia, Rodentia, Heteromyidae. The record is from RefSeq and is a predicted model, not a curated record. The transcript has 3 exons.
GGAGACUCUGAGCUAGUACCAUGGGUGAUUCUGAUUUUCCAUGUGCUCCCAAUGGCAUUUGUGGAGAGAGCAAGCAGCAGGGAGAACCACAUUCCAAUGGAGGUACAGCACUGCAGGUAUCAGGCUGAGCACUAGCCCUUCUGAUUCUAUGUUGAGUGGUAG